AUGAAAAAUUUGUCAUCAUUUACUCACCCUCAAGAUGUUCCAAACCUUUAUGAGUUUCACCUCCAUGUUAACAAAAGGCAAUUAAACGCUGGCUGCUCACAUCUAUUGAUCAUAUCUAACACAAUUCACUUGCUCUGCCAAUGUAGAACAACAGGAGCCACAUUCAGCCAUGAAUCCCCUGCCUCCAUUCACCCUCGGCAAGACAGACGCCCAUCUAAAGAUCCAUAUCUGCUGCUCAUUUAACGUUUGUUCUUGUGAAUCUCAUAAAACAUCACAUUUCACCCCCCAAAACAAAAGUAAAAUAUAUAUAUCUCUAUUUUGCAUAAAGAAAAUUAAGCCAUUUAGAACCAUUAAGACGUUUUGCUUUGUGCCAUUACUUUUAUGACAGUUAAGCACAUUUGUCCUUGUACAGCCAUUACUAAUGUGUCUGGAUGUUUUUCUUUUAAGGCUUUUCUUGUCAUUUUUUUUAUGCUUAAUGGAGACUUUCAUGACAGAAAUACAUUCAUUUAAAAAAAAGUUGAAUAUUACACAAAACAAUGCUGACAAGAAAAAUUAACUGAAUUAAAUUAAAGGAAGUACAAACAGUCAUAUGUAAACAAUAUAUAAUGUAAUAAUGGAAGUAUUUAAAAAAAUAAAUUUGCAUAAAUUAAUUAAAUGCUAUUCAAAAUGUAGAGAGGGAGACUCUAGUAGAUAGGUUUUUUAUUUUUUAUUUUGGGGAGACAUGUUUUCUGAGAUAUUCCUGCCAUGUGUGCUUCCCAAAAAGAGUUCUGUGCCAUUAAAGGUGACCCUUUUCUCAGUAACCUUCCAAAUGCUGUGCAAACAGUGAAUUUCUAUCCUGACUUUUAAAAGCUUUUAAAAGGUCUGAAGAUGAAAUAAGACUCUGUGUGAGAGAGGAAUCCCGAUUACAGACAGAUACCGCAGUGACUGCAGACGAAAACACGAAAGGUCAGUGAUUGCAACAGUUUGGAACAAAAGCAAUGACCUUGACCUGAUAGUUUGUGUGUGUGUGUGUGUGUGUGUGUGUGUGUGUGUGUGUGUGUGUGUGUGAGAGAGAGAGAGACAGAGAGAGAGAGCAGCAGCAGGAACAUGAUGCAGUACACAACCUCUCCUCUACUGCAUGGUGUGACCUGUUCCUCAGUUAAAAAGGGCAAGGUGUAGAUUGAUUCUCUCCACCUGCUGACCUUUAGGACCAGAUCUGAUAUGGACUGCUGAUUAGACAAACAAACAGAAGGAGAGAGAGAAAAGAAAGAGUGUGUGUGUGUGUGUGUGUGUGUGUGUGUGUGUGUGUGUGUGUGUGUGUGUGUGUGUGUGUGUGUGUGUGUGUGUGUAGGGUAUCAACAAAAGAAGCAACAAAGGGUGAAGCUGGUGAGAGCUGGUUUUAUGGUUUUAGCUGGUUUCGACCAGGUGGUCUAACAGCUAAGAAAGGCCCAAGCCCUUUUAAAAACCAAUAAAUCAGGCCAAUCUUCAUUCAUUAUUUUGAGUCAUUUCUAUUCAAGGAAUAAUUUAAAACCAUUCACAAAACCUGUAUCAGUGGUCCCUAUGAUCAACUUUGGAUUAUGAUGCUUUUUGGGAAACACAGCCCUGAACAAUUGGUUCACAAAACAAACAGUCCAUAUGGUUCUCACUCAGUGAACCCAAAACAGUUUCUUUCUAACAUACAUGAUUCGUAAUGAGAAGAGGCUUUGUCUGAUGAGGCGCAACAGAUGUUAUGUUAUCGCUGAUAUUACAAAUAAAAUAUACUGCAAAAUGAUAAAAAAACUGUACAAUGAUGCGAAAGACAGCUGAUCAGGAAAAACAUAUGAAUAACAAUCAAAACAGAUUUUGCACCUGAAUUACCCACCAGAAUUGAUAAAGAACAUCUAUCUGUCCUGGUUGCUUUCAGAGAGCUGGUCUAAUAGCACUUUUGAGAAAACAGGUUUGGCGUUCCUCCCCUCUAUCCAUCUUGGCUGGACAGGUGAGGUGCAGAUCUGUAUUAUUCAGAGAGACAGAAUAACAAAAUUGUAUAAAGACUUAACAGGUAACAUCCAGCUUUAUGGAGAAUUGAUUCUGGCUUAGAAAAGAGCAUUUAAACCAAGUCUAAAUUAAUCAAACUAAAGCAUUUUUCUGCAACACAGUCAUUAACAAACUCCAUCAGU
Molecule: long non-coding RNA, 2135 nt
Organism: Cyprinus carpio carpio
Lineage: Eukaryota; Metazoa; Chordata; Actinopteri; Cypriniformes; Cyprinidae
Source: Ensembl